CUCUGUGACUCCUACGGGAGGCAGCAGUGAGGAAUAUUGGUCAAUGGGCGAAAAGCCUGAACCAGCCAUGUCGCGUGCAGGACGACUGCCCUAUGGGUUGUAAACUGCUUUUAUAUGGGAAGAAAUGCGAGUACGUGUACUUGUUUGCCGGUACCAUAUGAAUAAGCAUCGGCUAACUCCGUGCCAGCAGCCGCGGUAAUACGGAGGAUGCGAGCGUUAUCCGGAUUCAUUGGGUUUAAAAGGGUGCGUAGGCGGAAGUGUAAGUCAGGGGUGAAAAGUUUGCAGCUCAAACUGUAAAAAAUUGCCUUUUGAUACUGCAUUUCUUGAGUACAUUUGAGGUAGGCGGAAUGUGUUGUGUAGCGGUGAAAAUGCUUAGAUAUAACACAGAACACCGAUUGCGAAGGCAGCUUACUAAACUGUAACUGACGCUGAUGCACGAAAGCGUGGGGAUCGAACAGGAUUAGAUACCCUGGUAG
This 476-nucleotide ribosomal RNA is filed under the name uncultured bacterium. Its description in RNAcentral is "bacterial SSU rRNA". It matches the Rfam family "Bacterial small subunit ribosomal RNA", at positions 328 to 793 of the family's 1533-position model. The record is from RNAcentral.